RNAcentral lists this transfer RNA (73 nucleotides) under Johnius belangerii (Belanger's croaker). RNAcentral describes it as "tRNA-Asn". Lineage: Eukaryota; Metazoa; Chordata; Actinopteri; Sciaenidae. The record is from RNAcentral. RNAcentral also lists the same sequence under 1 other name.
UAGCCGGAUGCUCGCUGGCUUGAGCACUUAGCUGUUAACUAAGAACUUGUAGGAUCGAGGCCUGCCCGUCUAG